RNAcentral lists this ribosomal RNA (493 nucleotides) under uncultured bacterium. RNAcentral describes it as "partial 16S ribosomal RNA". It matches the Rfam family "Bacterial small subunit ribosomal RNA", at positions 29 to 507 of the family's 1533-position model. The record is from RNAcentral.
AACGAACGCUGGCGGCGCGUCUUAAACAUGCGAGUCGAACGGCAGGAAGGGGCUUGCCCCUUCUGAGAGUGGCGGACUGGUGAGUAACACGUGGGUGACAUACCUUUUAGUUGGGGAUAGCUAUUAGAAAUAGUAGGUAAUACCGAAUGUGACCGUACCUGUUAGAGGGGUACGAGGAAAGGAGCUAAGGCUUCGCUAAAAGAAUGGCUCGCGGCCCAUUAUGCUCGUUGGUGAGGUAACGGCCCACCAAGGCGAUGAUGGGUAUCCGGCCUGAGAGGGUGAACGGACACAUUGGGACUGAGAUACGGCCCAGACUCCUACGGGAGGCAGCAGUUAAGAAUAUUCCGCAAUGGACGAAAGUCUGACGGAGCGACGCCGCGUGGAUGAAGAAUGCCGAAAGGUUGUAAAAUCCUUUUAAGCCUGAUGAAUAAGCACAGUAGGGAAUGAUUGUGCGGUGACCGUAGGGCUUGAAUAAGCACCGGCUAAUUACGUG